Non-coding RNA from Nelumbo nucifera (sacred lotus), 72 nucleotides. The record is from Rfam. NCBI's taxonomy places the organism in Eukaryota, Viridiplantae, Streptophyta, Magnoliopsida, Proteales, Nelumbonaceae.
GCCCCUAUAGCUCAGUGGUAGAGUAUCAGUCUUGUAAACUGAAGGUCUGUAGUUCGAUUCUGCAUGGGGGCA